CGCAGAGGCUAAUGCAAUAGUAUUACCAGGAUGCCACCCAGGACACACUUUGGUGGAAAGCUGCUGCCAUCUCAUGUGACAAAAGCAGUGGUGCGGUGUCUCUACAAAGAAUCGAUGACAACACUUGAGGUGCGUGUUGUCGGGCUGUCUUCCUUCAGGAAUCUGUGGAGAAAAUUGCUGCCCCACAUCUCAAGCACUAAGCCGAGGACAGACCUGUGGUGGCAGUGCCAGAGGAACAACUAUCAGGUCUUCAGAUCUGCCAGAAGCUGUUAAGUCAGCCAAGCUGAAGAAGCAAGAGCAGCAUCUCUUGCUUGUUCAGAGUGAGCGGUCUGUCUACCAGAAAGUGGUUGCUGAAUGCAAGACUAUCAAGACCUGCAGUUGUCUCUGUGGGCCCCUACUGAACCAGGAAGCAAAGACAUCAGGAUGCGUUGCAUCUUUAAUUUUGCUCAACAAGUGCACUAUCCUUCUGACCCUAUGCAGCCAGGUCCAAUCUACUUUAUAACUCCUCGCAGGUGUGGAUUGUUUGUCUGCUGUGAAGGAAUACCACAAGUCAACUACUUGAUUGAUGAAGGCAUGUCAUCCAGCAAAGGCAGCAGCACAGUCAUCAACUACAGAGUUGGGGAAAUGCGUGUGGACCCUAAUUGUGAUAACUACAGUGGCCAGAACAAGUUUGUGCUCUGGUAUUGUGCCUGGCGGACCAUGCACUAGCUCCACCAUGGUCUGGACCUUCACUUCCU
Salvelinus sp. IW2-2015 is the source of this 737-nucleotide long non-coding RNA. RefSeq lists it as uncharacterized. The record is from RefSeq and is a predicted model, not a curated record. Lineage: Eukaryota; Metazoa; Chordata; Actinopteri; Salmoniformes; Salmonidae.